This 43-nucleotide non-coding RNA is filed under the name Pongo pygmaeus (Bornean orangutan). Lineage: Eukaryota; Metazoa; Chordata; Mammalia; Primates; Hominidae. The record is from RNAcentral.
CAGGAACUGCUAACGAACGUACAGCGCAGUGGUGGUUCAGUGG